RNAcentral lists this ribosomal RNA (2903 nucleotides) under Escherichia coli. RNAcentral's name for it is "23S ribosomal RNA". It matches the Rfam family "Bacterial large subunit ribosomal RNA". The record is from RNAcentral. Lineage: Bacteria; Pseudomonadati; Pseudomonadota; Gammaproteobacteria; Enterobacterales; Enterobacteriaceae.
GGUUAAGCGACUAAGCGUACACGGUGGAUGCCCUGGCAGUCAGAGGCGAUGAAGGACGUGCUAAUCUGCGAUAAGCGUCGGUAAGGUGAUAUGAACCGUUAUAACCGGCGAUUUCCGAAUGGGGAAACCCAGUGUGUUUCGACACACUAUCAUUAACUGAAUCCAUAGGUUAAUGAGGCGAACCGGGGGAACUGAAACAUCUAAGUACCCCGAGGAAAAGAAAUCAACCGAGAUUCCCCCAGUAGCGGCGAGCGAACGGGGAGCAGCCCAGAGUCUGAAUCAGUGUGUGUGUUAGUGGAAGCGUCUGGAAAGGCGCGCGAUACAGGGUGACAGCCCCGUACACAAAAAUGCACAUACUGUGAGCUCGAUGAGUAGGGCGGGACACGUGGUAUCCUGUCUGAAUAUGGGGGGACCAUCCUCCAAGGCUAAAUACUCCUGACUGACCGAUAGUGAACCAGUACCGUGAGGGAAAGGCGAAAAGAACCCCGGCGAGGGGAGUGAAAAAGAACCUGAAACCGUGUACGUACAAGCAGUGGGAGCCUCUUUAUGGGGUGACUGCGUACCUUUUGUAUAAUGGGUCAGCGACUUAUAUUCUGUAGCAAGGUUAACCGAAUAGGGGAGCCGAAGGGAAACCGAGUCUUAACUGGGCGUUAAGUUGCAGGGUAUAGACCCGAAACCCGGUGAUCUAGCCAUGGGCAGGUUGAAGGUUGGGUAACACUAACUGGAGGACCGAACCGACUAAUGUUGAAAAAUUAGCGGAUGACUUGUGGCUGGGGGUGAAAGGCCAAUCAAACCGGGAGAUAGCUGGUUCUCCCCGAAAGCUAUUUAGGUAGCGCCUCGUGAAUUCAUCUCCGGGGGUAGAGCACUGUUUCGGCAAGGGGGUCAUCCCGACUUACCAACCCGAUGCAAACUGCGAAUACCGGAGAAUGUUAUCACGGGAGACACACGGCGGGUGCUAACGUCCGUCGUGAAGAGGGAAACAACCCAGACCGCCAGCUAAGGUCCCAAAGUCAUGGUUAAGUGGGAAACGAUGUGGGAAGGCCCAGACAGCCAGGAUGUUGGCUUAGAAGCAGCCAUCAUUUAAAGAAAGCGUAAUAGCUCACUGGUCGAGUCGGCCUGCGCGGAAGAUGUAACGGGGCUAAACCAUGCACCGAAGCUGCGGCAGCGACGCUUAUGCGUUGUUGGGUAGGGGAGCGUUCUGUAAGCCUGUGAAGGUGUGCUGUGAGGCAUGCUGGAGGUAUCAGAAGUGCGAAUGCUGACAUAAGUAACGAUAAAGCGGGUGAAAAGCCCGCUCGCCGGAAGACCAAGGGUUCCUGUCCAACGUUAAUCGGGGCAGGGUGAGUCGACCCCUAAGGCGAGGCCGAAAGGCGUAGUCGAUGGGAAACAGGUUAAUAUUCCUGUACUUGGUGUUACUGCGAAGGGGGGACGGAGAAGGCUAUGUUGGCCGGGCGACGGUUGUCCCGGUUUAAGCGUGUAGGCUGGUUUUCCAGGCAAAUCCGGAAAAUCAAGGCUGAGGCGUGAUGACGAGGCACUACGGUGCUGAAGCAACAAAUGCCCUGCUUCCAGGAAAAGCCUCUAAGCAUCAGGUAACAUCAAAUCGUACCCCAAACCGACACAGGUGGUCAGGUAGAGAAUACCAAGGCGCUUGAGAGAACUCGGGUGAAGGAACUAGGCAAAAUGGUGCCGUAACUUCGGGAGAAGGCACGCUGAUAUGUAGGUGAAGUCCCUCGCGGAUGGAGCUGAAAUCAGUCGAAGAUACCAGCUGGCUGCAACUGUUUAUUAAAAACACAGCACUGUGCAAACACGAAAGUGGACGUAUACGGUGUGACGCCUGCCCGGUGCCGGAAGGUUAAUUGAUGGGGUCAGCGCAAGCGAAGCUCUUGAUCGAAGCCCCGGUAAACGGCGGCCGUAACUAUAACGGUCCUAAGGUAGCGAAAUUCCUUGUCGGGUAAGUUCCGACCUGCACGAAUGGCGUAAUGAUGGCCAGGCUGUCUCCACCCGAGACUCAGUGAAAUUGAACUCGCUGUGAAGAUGCAGUGUACCCGCGGCAAGACGGAAAGACCCCGUGAACCUUUACUAUAGCUUGACACUGAACAUUGAGCCUUGAUGUGUAGGAUAGGUGGGAGGCUUAGAAGUGUGGACGCCAGUCUGCAUGGAGCCGACCUUGAAAUACCACCCUUUAAUGUUUGAUGUUCUAACGUUGACCCGUAAUCCGGGUUGCGGACAGUGUCUGGUGGGUAGUUUGACUGGGGCGGUCUCCUCCUAAAGAGUAACGGAGGAGCACGAAGGUUGGCUAAUCCUGGUCGGACAUCAGGAGGUUAGUGCAAUGGCAUAAGCCAGCUUGACUGCGAGCGUGACGGCGCGAGCAGGUGCGAAAGCAGGUCAUAGUGAUCCGGUGGUUCUGAAUGGAAGGGCCAUCGCUCAACGGAUAAAAGGUACUCCGGGGAUAACAGGCUGAUACCGCCCAAGAGUUCAUAUCGACGGCGGUGUUUGGCACCUCGAUGUCGGCUCAUCACAUCCUGGGGCUGAAGUAGGUCCCAAGGGUAUGGCUGUUCGCCAUUUAAAGUGGUACGCGAGCUGGGUUUAGAACGUCGUGAGACAGUUCGGUCCCUAUCUGCCGUGGGCGCUGGAGAACUGAGGGGGGCUGCUCCUAGUACGAGAGGACCGGAGUGGACGCAUCACUGGUGUUCGGGUUGUCAUGCCAAUGGCACUGCCCGGUAGCUAAAUGCGGAAGAGAUAAGUGCUGAAAGCAUCUAAGCACGAAACUUGCCCCGAGAUGAGUUCUCCCUGACCCUUUAAGGGUCCUGAAGGAACGUUGAAGACGACGACGUUGAUAGGCCGGGUGUGUAAGCGCAGCGAUGCGUUGAGCUAACCGGUACUAAUGAACCGUGAGGCUUAACCUU